Molecule: ribosomal RNA, 786 nt
Filed under: Heterocerus debilipes
Lineage: Eukaryota; Metazoa; Arthropoda; Insecta; Coleoptera; Heteroceridae
Description: partial 16S ribosomal RNA
Rfam family: Archaeal large subunit ribosomal RNA (bases 305-466)
Source: RNAcentral
AAUUUACUUUAUUAUAAUAAGUUUUUUAUUUUUAAAUUGCUUAGGUUUAAUAAUGAAAAUUCUGUGGGGAUGAGCUGGCGGAAUUGACUUAAAUUGAAUAUAUUUUUAAUGACAAAUAGGAUUGAAAUUUUCUUUUUUAUAUUAUAUUAUAAUUAAUCAUUAUUAAAUUAAUAUUUUUUUUGUAUUAAGUUUUUUAUAAAAACAUAUUUAUUAAUUUUUUAUUUUUAGAGAUAAUUAUGUAAUUAGUAAAGUUAAUUUUAAAUUUAUUAUGUUUCUUAAGGUAAUUUUAAGGAAUUCGGCAAAUAACUCUUCGCCUGUUUAAUAAAAACAUGGUCUUUUGAAUUUGAUUUAAGAUCUAACCUGCCCAAUGAGAAUUUGAAUGGCCGCGGUAAUUUGACCGUGCGAAGGUAGCAUAAUCAAUAGUUUUUUAAAUGGAAGCUGGAAUGAAUGGUUGGACGAGGGAGUUUCUGUCUCGAUUUUAAUUUUUUUUGAAUUUUAUUUUUGAGUCAAAAAGCUUAAAUGAUUUUAAAAGACGAGAAGACCCUAUAGAGUUUUAUUUAAUAGUUUUAUUUGGUUGAUAGAAUCUUUUUAUAAAAUAUUUAAAUUUUGUUGGGGUGACAUUAAGAUUAAAUAAACUCUUGAAUUUUUAAUUCAAUAAUAUUUGUUUAUUUUUGAUCCAUAUUUUUUGAUUAAUAGAUUAAAUUACCUUAGGGAUAACAGCGUUAUUUUUCUUGAGAGUUCUUAUCGAAAGAAAAGAUUGCGACCUCGAUGUUGGAUAAAAUAUAC